CUGGAGGGCAUGAAAACAGGCUCUUCAAGCUCUAGAGCUUUGUUGAUACUCGCCUCCUAUAGUAAAACUGUGGUUAGAACCGGCCAAUUUGUUUAAGUCUAAUUUGGCCUACAAACACCACAGACAUGC
Molecule: small nucleolar RNA, 129 nt
Filed under: Danio rerio (zebrafish)
Lineage: Eukaryota; Metazoa; Chordata; Actinopteri; Cypriniformes; Danionidae
Description: Small Cajal body specific RNA 15 (ENSDARG00000086888.2)
Source: RNAcentral